AUUGAACGCUGGCGGCAGGCCUAACACAUGCAAGUCGAGCGGAUGAAGGGAGCUUGCUCCUGGAUUCAGCGGCGGACGGGUGAGUAAUGCCUAGGAAUCUGCCUGGUAGUGGGGGAUAACGUCCGGAAACGGGCGCUAAUACCGCAUACGUCCUGAGGGAGAAAGUGGGGAUCUUCGGACCUCACGCUAUCAGGUGAGCCUAGGUCGGAUUAGCUAGUUGGUGGGGUAAAGGCCUACCAAGGCGACGAUCCGUAACUGGUCUGAGAGGAUGAUCAGUCACACUGGAACUGAGACACGGUCCAGACUCCUACGGGAGGCAGCAGUGGGGAAUAUUGGACAAUGGGCGAAAGCCUGAUCCAGCCAUGCCGCGUGUGUGAAGAAGGUCUUCGGAUUGUAAAGCACUUUAAGUUGGGAGGAAGGGCAGUAAGUUAAUACCUUGCUGUUUUGACGUUACCAACAGAAUAAGCACCGGCUAACUUCGUG
This 483-nucleotide ribosomal RNA is filed under the name uncultured bacterium. Its description in RNAcentral is "partial 16S ribosomal RNA". It matches the Rfam family "Bacterial small subunit ribosomal RNA", at positions 30 to 507 of the family's 1533-position model. The record is from RNAcentral.